Gavialis gangeticus (Gharial) is the source of this 1053-nucleotide long non-coding RNA. RefSeq lists it as uncharacterized. NCBI's taxonomy places the organism in Eukaryota, Metazoa, Chordata, Crocodylia, Gavialidae. The record is from RefSeq and is a predicted model, not a curated record. The transcript has 2 exons.
GGUUUCUACUGGAUGGCCUCGAGUGUCCAAGUUCCUGCUCUUUAAGUGCUGUCUUCACCCUCAAGAAGUCUGCACGGGAGAAGAUGGCAUUGAAAUAAUUUUCCAGGAAGAAGCCCAGUGCUGGAAAAGCUGGGUUGGCAGAGGGUGUAUAGAAGGGACUGUUGUGUGGUCAGAUGGCAGACACGGCCACUCUCCAAGAAGCUUUCCAAGGAAUUGCUGGGAAGAAGAGGCUUGAAUGUGAGUAUCCACCUCUUCGGCUGAAGUUGCGAGUUCUCGGAGCUCCCGAGGUCUAGGUCUGAGCCCCCGCGUGAUAUAACCCAGGUGGAUACAGGCUCCUUGCUGAGCCCAGCACCACUGACCGCCUCCACCCACACCCAAGAAGGAGAGCAGUGGGGGGGCAUGUGCCCAGGCCCCCUCCGAGCUGUCCAGCUGUCAGGCUCAGGCACAGCUGGAGUGUGGCCUGCUUCUUGGUCCCUCCAGCCCUCCGUCCCUCGACGCGUUCCUUUCCCUCGAUAGGGAGAUGGGGUGGACGUGGCUUUGGCUCUCCCUAGCCUUCCCCACCUCAGUGUGGUCUACAGCAUGAAGCACCAGCCUGGGGUUUUGGUGAGGUGGGUUCCUGCCCCACCUUUGUCACCCACACCUGCAGGCUGACCUUGGGUGAGUGUGUUUCCCUGCUUUGUGCCUCAGUUUCCCCAGCUGUAAAUGGGGAGGAGGGUCUUGUCCUAUAUGCCCAGCUUCUGACAGCCCCUCGUGAAGGUCUUGUAGUAGCUUCUGUGUCUCUGUGUGGUCACUAGUGAUCUAGAAAUGGACUGACCCCUGGGUUUUUCCAUCCCUCUCUCAUUCUCCUCCUUUCUGCACUCUGCUGCUCAGACCCUUGUCUGCCCUCCCAUCUUCCUCCUGUCUGCUUCCAGUGCAGGCAGCUCUUUCCCUAUAAGCGGCUCUGCUGAGAAGGCGUUGAAGUCCUUGUAGAUCCACCUGCUCCUUUCCUGGCCCUGGGCAUCCAGUUGAGGGUCCUUCCAAUAAAAUGCAGCUCACCAGGGGCACAGCCACUUC